UUGUUGCGAAAACACUCAUCCUGUAGGGAGCAGCAGAUUUCUUAUAUAAAGCACAGAAUCUGCUCAAUAAAUCACUAGUCUUCUACAGGACACAAAGUAAACAUGAACAAGUCAGCUCUUCUCCUUUUGCUCGUCGUCGGACUCCUCGUUCUCACUGACACCACUGUUGCCUUUGUCGGUCGCCGUCGCAGUUGGUAUUGGAACCAAAAGCUAGCUAAUGCUGAAGACACCAAUGAGAUGGACAUUCAUCCCUAUUAUGAAGUUAUGCAAGAACUCAACGGAGCAGAACAAUGAUUGUUCUCCAUCCAAUGUAUCAAUAAUGAACAGUUAAUAUAAAUAAAAUUAAGGGCAAUUACUUUG
Molecule: non-coding RNA, 360 nt
Organism: Ciona intestinalis (vase tunicate)
Lineage: Eukaryota; Metazoa; Chordata; Ascidiacea; Phlebobranchia; Cionidae
Source: RefSeq, a predicted model, not a curated record